This is a long non-coding RNA of Motacilla alba alba, 6021 nucleotides long. RefSeq lists it as uncharacterized. The record is from RefSeq and is a predicted model, not a curated record. The transcript is spliced from 3 exons. NCBI's taxonomy places the organism in Eukaryota, Metazoa, Chordata, Aves, Passeriformes, Motacillidae.
CUUAUGAGGGGGGCUGUGCAAUACAGCAACAGGAGUCCUUACCUCUGGUGUUUCCUGACUCCAAAGUACUGAAUUUAAAAACUAAAUUUUAAUUUAAUUUUAUUUUAGUGUAUAGUAACUGAAAGGAUGCCAGAUAGAAGGUGGCACUUUCCCCUUACACACAAGGAGUGUAGGAACUACAACUUGUUGUGUUUUACUGUAACAGGUGAUCAUGAUUUGAACAGGGAUCUCAGAAUUACCUUAGGUGAGAUCACUUAGCAGAUCACUGUUGGAGGAUCUGCUAAAUACUUAAGUCAAAUUAUUUAAACAAUGGUUUUCAAUAAUGGCAAAGUGGUUCAGGAUUACAUUAAACCAAAAGUAUUUUCUAUAAUCUUUCAGGGGAAUAGGCCCCCACUGGGAGUUAAAAUUCUGGUACAUUUCCCAUUCAGUUUGUCAGUUCCAAAUUAAACCAUAAGCAUAGUGGAAACAGUGCAAAAUACCUCUGCAAAACUUACAAAAAGCACAAAAAACCCCUGAGGGUGCAAUUUUUGGCACUGUAGAGGGUACACCCAUUGUUUGAAAAACAAAUCCCAGUCAGUGAAUCAGAAAAAGUGACUAAGAGCUGCAGGGCACCACGGAUCUGUCCUGAACAAGAGACAGUAUGGAGCAGCCCUGUCCAGGAGCACGCCAGGAGCCAGGCUGCUGCUCAUCACCUCUGCUGUAAAGGGUGAGGGAGGGAAGCAAGGAGCACACUCUAGCAGUCCUUUUAUGCACAACCUACUUUUCCACAGCAACUCAGCCACACUCUCUGCCUCUUUGGGAGCAGCUGAGUCAAAAUUCAGCUCUCUCCUUGCUCUAGCCAGGGUUCAGGUCCUUUCUCCAGCUCACACCCCUGCUGCCCAACAGUGUGCUGCUGCCCUCUGCUCCAGCCUGGAUGCCAGGGCAGAAACUCUUCCCAAGGGGCACUGGGGAAAGCCCUGAGUAACCUGCUCUGCUCCGAGUGCUGAUCCUGCUCUGAGCUGGAGACUGGAGAAUUCCCAACACCUCAUCCAACCCUAACAAUUAUAUCAUUUUUAUGAAUUACAAAAACGUGCUUGCUUUCUUUACAGGUGUAUCUUGGGCAACUGGUGUCCUGAUCCUUAACAAAUAGAUAAAAGACUAAAGCAAACCAAAAGAGUAACUAUGCAACUGCCUGCAAAGGAAUCAUCACAGCGAGGAUUUAAUCACGAGUUUUUAUUUGGCUUUGCAGUUGGAAUAUGACAAUACACUAAUGGUUAAAACUGCAUUUCAUUUUGAUCAUUGCUCUUGAAUAUUAGUUACCAGUUACACUGCUGCUCUGACUGCCAGUCAGAGCUGAACUACAACGACAACUUUGAGGAAAAAGACAGAACUUGUACAACUAUCUGCCUCGUUGGGAUCAGAUCUGUGGCAAUGGAGAAGCCGCCGGGCUGGCAACCAGCAAAUAGUUGACAAAUUUAGAUCAGCUUAAAUCUCCUGCCUUCUCAUUAACAAAAGCUGGAAGAAGAGGCCAAGGAAUAUACACUGCAGCUACCCAAGUCAGCACAACAAACAAAUAUGAAAACAAAGACAAAAAUGCCAGAGACAGAAAAGCAACAGAACAAGAGAACAUAUCUGGCAUCAACAGAUAUUUGUACACAUUUCAUUAUGUCGUCAGAUAAGUAAUUUAAUGAAACGGCAAGUGUACCAGUGUCUUACCAGGGUAUUAUGAAUAGCACUUAAAUUAUGGCAGUGCAUAAACCAGGACAUUAGUAUUCUAUCCACCUUAAAUAAAAAGUUUUGACGCCAUCAAUUUUAAUACCCAGUUGCUUUAAGAAGUUGGCUACAGCAUCAUGGCAGCCUGCCCAGGUUCUUUGCUCAAUCAAGCAAUAGUUGUCUUUGACCAAAAAAGAAAAAAAUAGCCAACAGUAUCCUUGCUGAAUGUCUGCUGGGAUCUGCUAUCUAUACAGGAAUAAGGGAAUUAAAAGAAAAUUAAAACAUUAAAAGUUUAGUAUUUUGGCUAACCGUAAUAUUACAAAAUUAGUCAUUUUAGUAAUUCAUUAUUGAAGCUAUCCAGUUUAGAGUAAUUUUUCAAAAAAAACUGCCAUGCAAUUUUUACCUAUUAUUUUGAUUGUAUGUACAUAAGAACUAACAUGCUGUAGAUUUAGUCAGAAAACCUGCAUCAUUUACCUCUGUACUAUACAAUACAGCAUGUCACAGUGCCCUAGGCAAGGUCACCAAACUCCUAACAAUGCUGUAGGAUGUGACAGAGGAAUCCAUCUUUACAAAUUAGACUUCAUUAUACAUGAUCCUGCUCAUAAAUCUUGAUGUAUCGUUUUCUAGUAUAAUAACUCUACUUUGCACUUGCAUGUACAUGUACUAGAUAUUCUAAUCCAGAUCUUCUAAUUCACAGAGUAUUUUACAAAUACACACUGGGUGUGUGCCCCUGUGCAUAAAGCCACUGUGCUGCGGCAAUAGCAGUGCUCUAAAUGAGACCCGACCCCCUGGAGCACCUGCCCUGCUCUGUGUCCUUCUGGUCCCCACCUGGGGAUGGAAAAGCUGCAGGAGGCCGGUUUUCCAGAGCAGAGUAUUUGUGACGUGCAAAGCAGAGGCUGAUGCUCCUGCGAGUGCCCUACUCUGAAAGAUCUGCAUGCCCAGAUUCUAUUAUACAGCCUGAUGCAGUCCUAGUAAAGUAACUGUACAAACUCCAAUGCACCUGGUAAGAAGAGAAUCAGACCUAAGGAAAGAGAAACAUACUGCUUUGCCAUUUGUAAACUACUGAAAGACUGUGAUAAAAGUACAACUUCUUUCCUUUCCAUUCUCUUGUCUUUAAUUAUCAUGAAUCAGGAUUUUUUUGUUAGUUAACUCACCUCACAAUAUUUGCCUACUUGUAGAACAAAACAAGAUAGGUCAUGUGGAGGAAAAUGUGGUAAGAGUGCAUCCUUGGUUACUAUGUGCUGUUUAGAGGACACAGGCUCCUUACCCUAGUAUCCCUUAGAAAGUAAUACUAAAACAAAAGAGGAAAUAACAGGGUCUACAAGAUCAGUGAUGCAGUCUGAUCCUACUAAGUGCAAUGCCAAAUUUUAUAAUUAAUUUAAUUCCUCAGGAACUAACUGUAAUGAAGCUUCUUGAAAGUUACAAUACCCAAAAUGGUGUUCCUGUGCUUUUGUAGCUUCAAAUAGUAGCUCAGACAGCCUAGAUAUAAACACAUCAAGUAAUAUUUAUAACUUUGGCAGUGGUCUUUAUCUCUUUGGGGGUCCUAGAGCUCUGGAAUUUGUUUUCUAUCACAGCUUAAAUGGUCUGGGUGGGAUGUUGUAAGUCGGGGUUACCACUGGAAGGGAAGAAAAGAUUUGAGGUUUUCCAUUGCUUGUUUUCCUAACAGCGGACUCCAGUGAAUUUCAGACUAAUUCUGUGGUUGAAGUUAUGUGAAAAGCACCAAGGGCAUAUGAGUAGGUGUCCUCUUUGACAUCUAAGUAAACAAACAAAUAUUCUGGAUAGAGAAAAGUAAGAAUCACUGUGAAUGAGGACAAAAUGUUCUAGCUUGUGCCCUGGCACUGUCUCCUUGUUUUUGUAUUUACAUAUACAAUUUAUCAUCAUUUUAGGGUAGCUUUAACAAGAAUAAGUUAUAAAUUAGUUUCACUCUUUUCUGGUUUAUCAAGAGAUUGGCACCUAUAUGCUCAUCCUACUUCAUUUUAGCUUUCUGAAGCUCUGGGAAAGGAUUGCUCUGCACUUUGCCAACAGCAGAGCACUACUGGCUUUCAUUAGUAGGGGCCAAAUUCUUUCACUUUUGUUCACAGUGAUUAAUGCUGAAAUAAAUGGAACUUCUUGCAGUAUUCACUGUGAAAAGAUUCUAAGUAUGCUCAGAUACAGACUACAGUAACAAAGUGUCUGCUGUUUGACUGUGCUCCCUCUCCCUUGCUAGAACAGGCAUGGAGGGGAUGGGGGAAAAUUAAGCUUUAAUUCUAUUCAUACAAAGGAUGAUAUUUUAUUAUUGUUAUUAUUAACAAGCUGUUUUCUCAAAGUGCUUGGAAGCAAAAACUGGAUGGAGCUGAAGUGCAAUCUUUGCCCUCAGGAGAUUGCAAACUAAAUAUAAAACAGGACACCGAUGGAGAGAAGACCUGAUUGGGGUAGGAAGGGUGGAGUAUGAGAGAGCAACAGAACAGUACUGGCCAGAGUAGUAACUGCUGGUGUACUUCUGGCACACCAGAAUUAGCGUCUGGGAGCACUGAUGCAGAGUCAGCAAGAGAGUCUCCAAGGAGGUUAAUGUGCUAUCUUUAUAUAUUCAGAGGACCAACUUUAAAGAACAAGGGACAUUUUUAACAAAAGCAUGCAAAUGUGUAUUUGAAAACAUAAUGAGUAGACAGCAAAAGCUGGGAUCCUGUACACAAACAGCCUGUGGGAAGAAAGCUUUUAAUAUUGAACACAUAGGUGAGGCGAGGGAAGGGCCCUCAAACUUCAGUCAAGCAGCCUCUACUUGAUGCACCACAAAGGCAGGAUGAGCUGCAAUGAGCAGUGAUAGCAGAGAACUGCCAGGGUAUUUGCAUUUGGGAUGCAAUGCAGUAGACCAGGUUGUGUCUAUCAAGGCAGAGUAAAUGGGAACAAAAGUGAAAAGGUAAACGUGGGAAGAAAUUUUUUUCUACAGCAGUCAAAAAAUUUCCCCUGGAAACCUCCUUCUGACUAAACCCAUUGUUUCUUAAAGAAUAAAAAUUAGAGAAAUCAUAUAUUUUUCUGGAAAAUAAUGGAUUUUUUGGGUUUAACACAGCAGGAUUUUCACAUUCUGGCCAGCUUUAAUGUGCACUUUUCUCCCCAUCUUGCAUUCUGCUUAUAUCUAGCUCUUGCAGGUUAUUUUUUAAUAACCCCUCUACCUCUCCAGUCUCUUGUACUAAUACAGCCUAAAUUGUCACAGGGCAUUAUAAACUCCAGGUGAAGGUGCUGUGUGACAGGCAGGAGGUUGCUCUGUUAUAUGAGAAUGGUGAAGACAGGGACAGCGAGGCAGCUGUGGUACAAAUGAUGAUUGGAUGGAUUGCCCUCUGAGUAAACAGGGCACUUCUGUGGAACAGUGGACAACCAAGCUGAUGCUUCAGCUGAAAUUCUGAAGAAUUGCAGCCACAAGAGCCCUUGCACAUUUCUCAGAUAACAGACAAGAAGUACGGACAAAACAAACCAAGUGCCAAUAAACUUUCACUUCCUUUCAUAAGAUGCUCUGUGGACAUUUUUAAAAUACAUUACAUUGAAGAUAUGAAGUCUUGUGCUGAGCAAAGCCAGUCUCUGUAGAAAUAGCCAAUGCUUCAAUGAUUAAGCAACUGGGAAAGUAGACUACAUUUUAUAUGUGUAGAUGUAUUGGUUUUUUACUGGAGCUGAGCUUGAAAUUUUGAAGUGAUUAAUGCCCUUGAAUAAGUGAGCAGCUAUAUUGAAACACAAAAUGUCUCAGCACAGAAUAUUGCCCCUGUUCUUCUCAUUUCAGCUUCUGGUGUCUGAUUUUCCCCCUCCUCUUCAGUCACUUGACAAAAAUAUAUUGCUUUAAACUACAUCUUUCUUUGCUCUCAAAAUGCUCAUUUCCUUAAUAUUGUAUUGGGAUCUUGUCUAAGCCACGAUUUUUAAUUUUUUUUUCCCUAAACUUCCAACUGUUAUUACCAUCACAGUAGAAAUAAUUGGAACAUUUGUGUAAAAAAGCCUUGCCUUGCAGCAGUCAAUGGCAAUUUAGCACACACCAUAGCAGGAUAUUGGUUCAGAGACCUGGGAGCUUUUUCUCUUUAUUUUUUUAAAACUCUCCUGGAUUACACAGGAAAACAUGAUCAAUCUUGACAGCAGGUUCUAACAACAAUGCAAGCAAAUUGUUCCCCAAAUGAAUUUACUUGUGAGAGUAAGAACUUUUUUCAGAUACGCAAAUACUUCACUGCACACACACCUUUUGAGUAAUCAGGCUACUGACUGAUGGCAGCAUAUUCCAAGUAUCAUAUCAGUAUAUUGCAACCUUCAUCACUGGCCACACGGCUACUAUUUAAACUUAUUUAACAGAUUUAAAAUAUAUACAUUUGGUAGAAU